GUGGGGAAUAUUGGACAAUGGGCGCAAGCCUGAUCCAGCCAUGCCGCGUGUGUGAAGAAGGCCUUAUGGUUGUAAAGCACUUUAAGCGAGGAGGAGGCUACUUUAGUUAAUACCUAGAGAUAGUGGACGUUACUCGCAGAAUAAGCACCGGCUAACUCUGUGCCAGCAGCCGCGGUAAUACAGAGGGUGCAAGCGUUAAUCGGAUUUACUGGGCGUAAAGCGCGCGUAGGCGGCUAAUUAAGUCAAAUGUGAAAUCCCCGAGCUUAACUUGGGAAUUGCAUUCGAUACUGGUUAGCUAGAGUGUGGGAGAGGAUGGUAGAAUUCCAGGUGUAGCGGUGAAAUGCGUAGAGAUCUGGAGGAAUACCGAUGGCGAAGGCAGCCAUCUGGCCUAACACUGACGCUGAGGUGCGAAAGCAUGGGGAGCAAACAGGAUUAGAUACCCUGGUAGUCC
RNAcentral lists this ribosomal RNA (451 nucleotides) under uncultured Acinetobacter sp. RNAcentral's name for it is "bacterial SSU rRNA". It matches the Rfam family "Bacterial small subunit ribosomal RNA", at positions 354 to 796 of the family's 1533-position model. Lineage: Bacteria; Pseudomonadati; Pseudomonadota; Gammaproteobacteria; Moraxellales; Moraxellaceae. The record is from RNAcentral.